RNAcentral lists this ribosomal RNA (253 nucleotides) under uncultured bacterium. Its description in RNAcentral is "partial 16S ribosomal RNA". It matches the Rfam family "Bacterial small subunit ribosomal RNA", at positions 524 to 776 of the family's 1533-position model. The record is from RNAcentral.
GACGUAGGGCGCGAGCGUUGUCCGGAUUUAUUGGGCGUAAAGAGCUCGUAGGCGGCUUGUCGCGUCGAAUGUGAAAACUCGGGGCUUAACCCCGAGCCUGCUUCUGAUACGGGCAGACUAGAGGUAUGCAGGGGAGAACGGAAUUCCUGGUGUAGCGGUGAAAUGCGCAGAUAUCAGGAGGAACACCGGUGGCGAAGGCGGUUCUCUGGGCAUUACCUGACGCUGAGGAGCGAAAGUGUGGGGAGCGAACAGG